UAGGGAAUCUUCGGCAAUGGACGAAAGUCUGACCGAGCAACGCCGCGUGAGUGAAGAAGGUUUUCGGAUCGUAAAACUCUGUUGUUAGAGAAGAACAAGGACGUUAGUAACUGAACGUCCCUGAAGGUAUCUAACCAGAAAGCCACGGCUAAAUAAGUGCCAGCAGCCGGGGUAAUACGUAGGUGGCAAGCGUUGUCCGGAUUUAUUGGGCGUAAAGCGAGCGCAGGCGGUUUCUUAAGUCUGAUGUGAAAGCCCCCGGCUCAACCGGGGAGGGUCAUUGGAAACUGGGAGACUUGAGUGCAGAAGAGGAGAGUGGAAUUCCAUGUGUAGCGGUGAAAUGCGUAGAUAUAUGGAGGAACACCAGUGGCGAAGGCGGCUCUCUGGUCUGUAACUGACGCUGAGGCUCGAAAGCGUGGGGAGCAAACAGG
Molecule: ribosomal RNA, 428 nt
Filed under: Gemmatimonadota bacterium
Lineage: Bacteria; Pseudomonadati; Gemmatimonadota
Description: Gemmatimonadetes bacterium partial 16S ribosomal RNA
Rfam family: Bacterial small subunit ribosomal RNA
Source: RNAcentral